Molecule: long non-coding RNA, 318 nt
Organism: Bactrocera tryoni
Lineage: Eukaryota; Metazoa; Arthropoda; Insecta; Diptera; Tephritidae
Exons: 2
Source: RefSeq, a predicted model, not a curated record
UUUAAAUCGUUUAGUAACACAUCAGCCAAGGGUCGGAAUGUGCCUACAGAACAGUAUAAAAAAAGCAGGAUUAAAGUUCACAAUCAUCACAGUUUUAUACAGCUUAUCAGCUCGGAAAUAUAGUGUUUCUAUUGGUUUGUCUUAUACGACAAUACUUACCGCCAGUCAUUUUAUAAGCCAUCAAUCCGCCCGCUGUGCCACCAGCAGCCAGUCCUACAGGUCCAAGCAGAAUUCCUCCUAUAAAAGCAGUUGCUGCACAAACUAAAUAAAUUAUAAAAUGUAGAGUUUAAAUAAAUAAAAACUUAUUUUUUUAAUUUA